AUUGAACGCUGGCGGCAGGCCUAACACAUGCAAGUCGAGCGAGCGGCGGACGGGUGAGUAAUGUCUGGGAAACUGCCUGAUGGGGGGGGGUCACUACUGGAAACGGUAGCUAAUACCGCAUACCAUCAGAUGUGCCCAGAGGGGAUUAGCUGGUAGGUGGGGUAACGGCUUACCUAGGCGACGAUCCCUAGCUGGCCUGAGAGGAUGACCAGCCACAUUGGAACUGAGACACGGCCCAGACUCCUACGGGAGGCAGCAGUGGGGAAUAUUGCGCAAUGGGCGCAAGCCUGAUGGAGCCAUGCCGCGUGAGUGAAGAAGGCCUUCGGGUUGUAAAGCACUUUUAGUGGGGAGGCGUUACCCUCAGAAGAAGCACCGGCUAACUCCGUGCCAGCAGCCGCGGUAAUAC
Molecule: ribosomal RNA, 406 nt
Filed under: uncultured bacterium
Lineage: Bacteria
Description: partial 16S ribosomal RNA
Rfam family: Bacterial small subunit ribosomal RNA
Source: RNAcentral